AGUGAACGCUGGCGGUAGGCCUAACACAUGCAAGUCGAACGGCAGCACAGUAAGAGCUUGCUCUUACGGGUGGCGAGUGGCGGACGGGUGAGGAAUACGUCGGAAUCUACUUUUUCGUGGGGGAUAACGUAGGGAAACUUACGCUAAUACCUCAUACGACCUACGGGUGAAAGCAGGGGAUCUUCGGACCUUGCGCGAUUGAAUGAGCCGAUGUCGGAUUAGCUAGUUGGCGGGGUAAAGGCCCACCAAGGCGACGAUCCGUAGCUGGUCUGAGAGGAUGAUCAGCCACACUGGAACUGAGACACGGUCCAGACUCCUACGGGAGGCAGCAGUGGGGAAUAUUGGACAAUGGGCGCAAGCCUGAUCCAGCCAUACCGCGUGGGUGAAGAAGGCCUUCGGGUUGUAAAGCCCUUUUGUUGGGAAAGAAAAGCAGCAGGUUAAUACCCCGCUGUUCUGACGGUACCCAAAGAAUAAGCACCGGCUAACUUCGUG
Molecule: ribosomal RNA, 492 nt
Filed under: uncultured bacterium
Lineage: Bacteria
Description: partial 16S ribosomal RNA
Rfam family: Bacterial small subunit ribosomal RNA
Source: RNAcentral